Molecule: unclassified non-coding RNA, 18 nt
Filed under: Mus musculus (house mouse)
Lineage: Eukaryota; Metazoa; Chordata; Mammalia; Rodentia; Muridae
Description: oocyte_clustered_small_RNA6203
Source: RNAcentral
UGAGAUGGCACCCAGGGA